RNAcentral lists this ribosomal RNA (1241 nucleotides) under metagenome. RNAcentral's name for it is "bacterial LSU rRNA". It matches the Rfam family "Bacterial large subunit ribosomal RNA", at positions 1564 to 2816 of the family's 2925-position model. The record is from RNAcentral.
UGAAUACGAGACGCUAAGGCGUCGAAGUAGUGUAUGUCAUACUUCCAAGAAAAGCUUGCACUGUCAUAGAUAAAAAACGCCUGUACCAUAACCGACACAGGUGGGUAGGUAGAGUAUACUAAGGGGCGCGAGAUAACUCUCUCUAAGGAACUCGGCAAAAUAACUCCGUAACUUCGGGAGAAGGAGUGCCUUAUUCGUAAGGUUGCAAUAACAAGAUCCAAGCAACUGUUUAUCAAAAACACAGGUCUCCGCUAAGUCGUAAGACGAUGUAUGGGGGCUGACGCCUGCCCAGUGCCAGAAGGUUAAAGAAGUUGGUUAGCAAUUGCGAAGCUGAUAACUGAAGCCCUGGUGAACGGCGGCCGUAACAAUAACGGUCCUAAGGUAGCGAAAUUCCUUGUCGGGUAAGUUCCGACCCGCACGAAAGGCGUAAUGAUUUGGAUACUGUCUCGGAGAGGGGCUCGGUGAAAUAGACUUGUCUGUGAAGAUGCGGACUACCUGCACCAGGACAGAAAGACCCUAUGAAGCUUUACUGUAACUUGAAAUUGAAAUUGGACUUUAUUCGCGCAGUAUAGGUGGGAGGCGUUGAUUAUAAUCUUGUGGGAUUAUUGGAGCCAUCAGUGAGAUACCACUCUUGUAAUGUUAGAUUUCUAACUUUGAAUCAUUAUCUGGUCAAAGAACAGUUUCAGGCGGGCAGUUUGACUGGGGCGGUCGCCUCCUAAACGGUAACGGAGGCGUACAAAGGUUUCCUCUGAACGGUUAGAAAUCGUAUCUAGAGUGUAAAGGCAUAAGGAAGCUCACUGUGAGACCUACAAGUCGAGCAGGGACGAAAGUCGGUCUUAGUGAUCUGACGGUACUGAGUGGAAAGGCCGUCACUCAACGGAUAAAAGUUACUCUAGGAUAACAGGCUGAUCUCCCCCAAGAGUUCACAUCGACGGGGAGGUUUGGCACCUCGAUGUCGGCUCAUCGCAUCCUGGGGCGGUAGUACGUCCCAAGGGUUGGGCUGUUCGCCCAUGAAAGCGGUACGCGAGCUGGGUUCAGAACGUCGUGAGACAGUUCGGUCCAUAUCCGGUGUAGGCGUUAGAAUAUUGAGAGGAGCCUUCUUUAGUACGAGAGGACCGAGAAGGACAUACCUCUGGUGUACCAGUUAUCGUGCCAACGGUAAACGCUGGGUAGCUAUGUAUGGAGUGGAUAACCGCUGAAAGCAUCUAAGUGGGAAGCCCACCUCAAGAUAAGUGUUCUCA